Molecule: ribosomal RNA, 500 nt
Filed under: uncultured bacterium
Lineage: Bacteria
Description: partial 16S ribosomal RNA
Rfam family: Bacterial small subunit ribosomal RNA
Source: RNAcentral
AUUGAACGCUGGCGGAAUGCUUUACACAUGCAAGUCGAACGGCAGCACGGACUUCGGUCUGGUGGCGAGUGGCGAACGGGUGAGUAAUACAUCGGAACGUGCCCAGUCGUGGGGGAUAACGUAGCGAAAGCUACGCUAAUACCGCAUACGAUCUAAGGAUGAAAGCGGGGGAUCGCAAGACCUCGCGCGAUUGGAGCGGCCGAUGGCAGAUUAGGUAGUUGGUAGGGUAAAGGCCUACCAAGCCGACGAUCUGUAUCUGGUCUGAGAGGAUGAUCAGCCACACUGGGCCUGAGACACGGCCCAGACUCCUACGGGAGGAAGCAGUGGGGAAUUUUGGACAAUGGGCGCAAGCCUGAUCCAGCCAUUCCGCGUGCAGGAUGAAGGCCUUCGGGUUGUAAACUGCUUUUGUACAGAACGAAAAGGCUCUGGUUAAUACCCGGGGCUCAUGACGGUACUGUAAGAAUAAGCACCGGCUAACUACGUGCCAGCCGCCGCGGUAA